This 253-nucleotide ribosomal RNA is filed under the name uncultured bacterium. Its description in RNAcentral is "partial 16S ribosomal RNA". It matches the Rfam family "Bacterial small subunit ribosomal RNA", at positions 524 to 776 of the family's 1533-position model. The record is from RNAcentral.
UACGAAGGGUGCAAGCGUUACUCGGAAUUACUGGGCGUAAAGCGUGCGUAGGUGGUUUGUUAAGUCUGAUGUGAAAUCCCCGGGCUCAACCUGGGAAUGGCAUUGGAUACUGGCAGGCUAGAGUGCGGUAGAGGGUGGUGGAAUUCCCGGUGUAGCAGUGAAAUGCGUAGAGAUCGGGAGGAGCAUCUGUGGCGAAGGCGGCCACCUGGACCAGCACUGACACUGAGGCACGAAAGCGUGGGGAGCAAACAGG